CGUUCUGCUCUCUCUUAUCUCCUCUCUACUUCAUUAUCUCUUCGACUCUGUUUGUCUGGAUAUUUCAAUCCGACCAUCAACUAUCAUUUCAACUAUGGCGUUAAGAGAUGAAAAUUUCUGAUGUUUUCUAGGAAGCAAUUUAUACCCGUCAGGUGCUUUCAUUAUACCGGGGCCUUGGGACAAAGAACCUGCAGUUCUUUAUUUCACAGUUCAUCUACUUCUAUGGAUACAGUUUUUUUAAGAGUUUGUACUUGAACAAAAGUGGAACUUGUACAGUCAUAGCGACACAGAAAGAUAAAGGGUAGACAAAUGAAGAGAACCAAGAAUGCUCGAAAGAAGAAAGCUAUAGUAACAGCUAUAUCGAAAAGAGAGAAGGUUGUUGCAAAAGUAUUGAAGCAUGAAAGCAAAACCUUGAGAACUUAAUCCGCAAAAUUGCUAGACGACUAAGGAUGCUGAUCGAGCAUAUUGUUUCUUAUUUUAGGAUUUAGAUUCAUCUGUCUUUUUGUUAUCCCUGUUUCAGUUCCUCUUUUGUUAUAAUAUAUAACAUGGUUUCAAGCA
Long non-coding RNA from Rosa rugosa (rugosa rose), 558 nucleotides. RefSeq lists it as uncharacterized. Lineage: Eukaryota; Viridiplantae; Streptophyta; Magnoliopsida; Rosales; Rosaceae. The transcript has 3 exons. The record is from RefSeq and is a predicted model, not a curated record.